RNAcentral lists this ribosomal RNA (253 nucleotides) under uncultured bacterium. Its description in RNAcentral is "partial 16S ribosomal RNA". It matches the Rfam family "Bacterial small subunit ribosomal RNA", at positions 524 to 776 of the family's 1533-position model. The record is from RNAcentral.
UACGUAGGGUGCAAGCGUUAAUCGGAAUUACUGGGCGUAAAGCGUGCGCAGGCGGUGAUGUAAGACAGAUGUGAAAUCCCCGGGCUCAACCUGGGAACUGCAUUUGUGACUGCAUCGCUGGAGUACGGCAGAGGGGGAUGGAAUUCCGCGUGUAGCAGUGAAAUGCGUAGAUAUGCGGAGGAACACCGAUGGCGAGGGCAAUCCCCUGGGCCUGUACUGACGCUCAUGCACGAAAGCGUGGGGAGCAAACAGG